RNAcentral lists this ribosomal RNA (253 nucleotides) under uncultured bacterium. RNAcentral describes it as "partial 16S ribosomal RNA". It matches the Rfam family "Bacterial small subunit ribosomal RNA", at positions 524 to 776 of the family's 1533-position model. The record is from RNAcentral.
UACAGAGGGUGCAAGCGUUGUUCGGAAUUACUGGGCGUAAAGGGCGUGUAGGCGGCUUAGCAAGUCAGAUGUGAAAUCCCGGGGCUUAACUUCGGAAGUGCAUUUGAAACUGCUAGGCUAGAGUGAAGUAGAGGUUGGUGGAAUUCCCAGUGUAGAGGUGAAGUUCGUAGAUAUUGGGAGGAACACCGGUGGCGAAGGCGGCCAACUGGGCUUUAACUGACGCUGAGGCGCGAAAGCGUGGGGAGCAAACAGG